AGUAGGAAAAAAAAGUGACCCAUCCAUGGCCCAUGAAAACCUUUGCACUGUUUAACAGACCCUCAAAGCAUGUUGUGUAACACCUGAGUUAGAAGCAGUACAGGUGUUAAGUUACUACCGGAGAAACAGAAAACCUUGCAAGGAAAGGACAUCUCUCUAUGGGAUUGUAACAAGGAAUAUAAUGUGGUCCACAAGGCACUUAGUUUUAUCCUCCUGGCCAAAUGAGUGAUGAAUAGGCUGGUUUUCACUGUGAUUAAGUUUUUUCACAGUAGCUGGUAUGGGACUGUGUUUCAGAUUUGCUGAAAACAGUACUGAUAAUACACAGAUGUUUUAGUUAUCACUGAACAGUUCUUAUACAGUAUCAAGCCCUUUUCUGCACCUUAUCUCAUCCCACAAGCCAUCCUAGGGAUGUCUGAAUGUCUGCCUGCCAAUGGAAAGCAGUGAAUGAAUCCUUGUUUUGCUGUGCCUGUGUGUGUGGCUUUUGCUUUCCCUAUUAAACAGCUUUUAUCUUGAGUCACGAGUUUUCGCACUUGUUUUCCUCUGAUUCACUCCCCUGUUCUGCUGUUGGGGGAGGAAUGAGCAAGCAGCUUUGGAGCUGAGUUGCCAGCUGGAGUUACACCGUGACAUAACCUUUCAGAAGCUGUCUUCCUCCAGUAAUAGAUUUUAAAGGCAUCCUUCUUCAAAAACAGAUCAGCAGCCCAGGAUAGCUUUAUUUUUUUCUGAGCUGUGCCUUCUUUUAUGUGGGACCUGACUAAAAGAACUGAAAGACCACAAUAAAGUUUCUGCAAAACUUUCCCUUCUCCAGGCUGAACAACCUCAUCUCUUGGAUUCCUUUGCCAGGAACAGAAAGACCACAGUAAGCUUUCUGCAAAAAUUUCCCUUCUCCAGGCUGAGCAGCCUCAUCUCUUGGAUUCCUUCACCAGGAACUGAAGGACCACAGUAAAGUUUCUGCAAAACUUCCCUUUCUCCAGGCUGAACAACCUCACCUCUUGGCCUGCCUUCAUAGGAGAUGGACUCCAGCACACUGAUAAUCUUGGUGGCUCUUCUCUGCUCACUCCAGCAUGUCUGCAUCCUUUGUGGGCUGUGGAUCCCAGAGCAGAUGCAGUGCUCCAGCAUAAUUGAAGAUUAAUUGCGUGGAAGAGGCAGACUGAAAAGGAGCAUGAAUCUGUGGCCACACGGUCACUGGAGAGUAACUGGAAAUACUCUAAAUCCCAAUAAUGUACUUUGUUCAGUAACAGUUCUUGAAACAGCACCAGGUAUCAAAAUUUUUAUUUUAUUUCAUAUUUCAAGUUUUAUUUUUAAAAUGAAACUGUUAUCAGUGGCUGUCAACUCAUGUGUUUCCUGUGGUGGAAACAUUUUUCAGCCCUUUGAUGGGAAGCAAAAGAAGCCCCAUUAGCAGGGGAAGAUGCUAAGCCCAUGCACUAAGGUGUUCAUGGCACUCUGGGUAACUCCAGCACCUCUGAGUGCUCCAGUCAUUCCAUAAGCAUUUAAUCUAAUGACACUUUAAUUAAUUACAGACCUUGAAACACAGACCAGAAGAAGGGCCUUGUGACAUUAAAUCCCUUUGAUGUUCCUGCCAACCCCUGAAUCUCAGGUGUUGAACAGGGACUUGGCAGUGGUGGGGAGCCCUCACCUGCGAGGUGAGACCCCUGCUCGGGACCUUCACUGAGGGAGGAGAACCUGGAGCGGUGUCUGUGCCUCACAGGAAGGUCCUACCUGCUGAUCCUUACCUCUGGCUCCUGGGACUCACUGCAGGGCUGUCCUGCAGUGUUAGCAGACUGGCUGACCUCGGGAAGGGAGCUGGUUCUUAGCAGUGCUAAAAGGCCACCCUGGCACACAGAGGCACAUGCAGGAGGAUUACGGCGCAGUCUGAACUGGGCACACUGAGCACCUCAGCGCCAUCAGAACGAACAAACAAACGUGUGAUGCACAGAGCCCUUUUGAGUGAUGCCUAUCAAAUGCACAGCCCGUGGCACUUUGUGCAUUUGGCUGACUGCAAGAAAAUCUCUGCACGAUGGAGUCCAAGUCUUCUGUGUGACUGGUGCAGAGCUCACAGCCUGGCUGACAGCAGCAACAGAGGAAUGCAUGGAACUGAAGGAGUGGCAGCCAGAAACAAACAGUGAUUUUGAUUGAUCAUAUUUUGCCCUGCUGGUUGUUCUACUUCAAGGAACAUGGCCUUGGGAAUACUAAUGACUAUGUCAAUCAACAAGUUUCUGAAAAUUAAGGACUUCCAAAUUCCAAAGGCUCUCUUCAGGUACUGGAAGGACACAAGUCGCCUUCUUAUCUUCAGGCUGAAUAUUCCCAGUUCUCUCAGCUCUUCCUCAGAGGAAAGGAGCUCAAUCUCUUCAACCAUCUUUGUGUCCCUCCUCUGGACUGUCUCCAGAGGUCCCUGUGCCUCCUGUGCUGGGAGCCCAGCUCUGUGUGCAGUGCUCCAGGUGGGUCUCAGCAGAGCAGAGCAGAGCAGAGCAGAGGGGCAGAAUCCCCUCCCUGCCCUGCUGCCCACGGGGCUCUGGGUGCAGCCCAGGACACCUUUGGCUCUCUGGGCUGGCAGUGCCAUGGCUGGGCCAUGUGCAGCCUCUCACCCACAGCACCCCCAAGCCCUUCAUAUCCCAACUUCUUUUCUAAAGAUAUUAAUGAAUCUUUACAAUAAGCACACUAAAUUAUCUUGGAAUACUUUUCAAGGCUAUAUUGUAUUUAUGAGGGCUUGCUUUUAAUAUUAAUUUAAAUUAGAUAGAUAGAUAGAUAGAUAGAUAGAUAGAUAGAUAGAUAGAUAGAUAGAUAGAUAGAUAGAUAGAUAGAUACUAUUACUGGAACAGAUUUACAGAAAAUGCCACCUUUUUUAAUACGCUCUUUCUUAAAAAAAUCCAACAAAGUAUGGAUGUGGCACAACUAUGACUUGUGUUAAAAACCUAAUUAAUAAUUUCAUUUUAAUUCAUAACUUACCUUGCUUGCAUCAGUGGGACUACUCAUACUGAAAGCUUAGAUAUGCUUUGCAAAAGCAUGGUCUUCAUUAAUAGUUAAUACCCAUGGACAUUAAUUUAUUUAAUCAGAAGCUAAAAUACUGACUUUACAACCUUUAAAAAACCUGAAUUACCUAAAUAUUUCUUCUCUUCCAAGUAAAAGCCAUCUCAUUUUCUUCCAGUUAUUUCAUAAAUUUUUAUUAAUUUCAGUUUUUACCUCCUCUUCUUCUCUUUCCCCUGCAACAUUGUACAUUUCCCUGGGACAGAUAUUUUUGUUUUAAAUAUUCCACAUUUUCUUUUUAUAUUUGCUAUACUUGUGGCAAUCAUGAGCAUGGCUUGCAAACAAAUUGUUUGCAUAACUACCAAAAGACAUGGCCAAUGUGAUGAAUACUUUACAUGUUUGCCUGUGUUUCCUAACAGCUACAGAAAUAAGCAAAACCCCACACUCUUCCAUGAUUUUAAUGUUAAAUACAAUGGCUAAGCUAUUCUUUAUAAAGGAGAAAAAGCUACCUUAGCUCCUGCCACAUGACACAACUGUUCUGCCAGAUGAGAAACAGCCAUAAAAGAUGGCCUGUAAAUGGUUAAAAAGAUAAAACCCUUAGCUGUUGAGGCACUGGAUGGAGGACUGUGGGAAAGUGACCAAGGAAGACACCCUUAUGGAGUCUGAAAGUUUGGCUGUUGUAUACAAGCUUGGGAUGCCUUUGGUAAGAGUUAGAGGAGACAGUUGCAUACGCUCAUUAAUUAUUGUAAAUGUCACUUUCUUUUAUGUUUAGUUCCUUAAGAUUAAAGAGAGCCUUGGUUUAAGAAGACUGACUGAACAUUGCAUUAACUCCCGGUUCCAGUCUUCUGAAGGGAACAAAUGCAGGCACCCAAAUCUAAUUAUCUCUGUGAAGUUAAGCAAGGUUGUGCAGCAGUGGUCGAGCAAACACUAUAUGACUUUGCUUGGCUACAGGAAAGAGUAUAGCUGCAGCAGCACAGAGGCUCAUGUUCCCCCUUCUUCAGCGUCUCAUUUAGGGUUUGCUCAGAGAUCAGUACCCCACAGCCUGCAGUGUAAAUGUGACAUGGUCUACUGAUGGAAUUAGUCCCCGGUUUUUAAGGGUUAAUCUUGCAAGGUGCUGAAUGCUUCCCACCCUAUCAAUUCCAUCUAAAUAGGAAAUACUUGACAAUCCCUUUCAAUUUGGGGUUACAGAUUCCUAGUUAAGGUGAGGCACAGGCUGGCUGCAAUGGAGGUUGAAGGAAAGCAUCAGCACCUAAUAAUAGAUGGUGACUUGGUGAAUGAUAUUUAUUUAUUAUUUAUCAUCUGCUAUGAUAUAGCAGAAAAUGGACUUAACUGGUUAUUUUUAGCAAGGUAAGUAUUAUUUAUGGUUUCACUACUUUCUGGCAUGACUAUUUGCUAUUAAGAAAUUGCAAUCUGGAUAAGAGAACAGAGUAGAUUGUUUUAAGGUUUUUAAUCAUGUAUUUGCUCAGAAAUUGAGAAAUUUACCUGAGAAAUUUACUAUGUAGUAAAUGCUUAAUGCUGCACUUAAUGACCCCAGAAAUAGUACAAAUUUCAGGAAUUCUGUACUCUUGAGCCAUUCACUAAACUUCUGGGACCAGUGUGUCCCUGGGAGCAGUGUGUGAACUCGGAGCAGUGUUUACAGGUCUCAGGGUCAUAAAUUCAGCUAUCCUGUGUGCAUAGCAAAGCCAUCCAGGUUCCCUGUGAAGUGACUGGAAGAAGUAAAGCUCUUGGGAAGGUUAUUUGGAAGAGCUGUAAAGAGGCACAGCCUGUGGCCAGGUAAGGGAGGGACCUGAAAUUCUGCCUCUCCCCUGGGCUUAUCUGCACCCCUGGAGACAGGUGCCUCAGAUUGAUGGGGAGGCUUUGUUAUGCUCAGGCAGAAGGGUGGACCUUGGGCACUGAUCACUGCUUGGCCUUAGGCUGUAACUGAUAAGAGGCACAGUAAGCUCGAUUUAAUGACAGCCUAUUACACACUCAGGACUCUCAAAUUCUAGAGAAAUAUGCUACCUAUCCUGCCGCAGAGUAAUCGUGAAUUGAGGCCCCAUCACUUCCAUUACAGAGCAUUGCCUUUGUGCAGCCAGGAAUGCCCACGACUUGUAGAAAUAGCAAGGUUACUGGAAUGAGGCAAAUCUGUUCAGGAACUGGCAGGUACUUAAGGGCUUCCCUCUGUGCUUGAUGGUGACUGACAUCACAAAGUUGUGUAUAUAAGGUUUCGAAAUAUUCCUGCUUGCCUGUCUUUUAAAACUCCAGUUUCUGUAAAAAAAAGUUCAAUUUCAGCCCUUUUAAUGCAAGCUGCUUAUGCAGUGAGAUACCAAGAGUGGGCUGCAAAAAGGGUACUGACUGUAUGCACAGGAGUUCAGAGUUGAAAAGAGGGAAUAAUGAGAUGCACCAGGAAAAGAAAUGUCCUAAUUGUGUAAGAGUUAGUGAGGAAAGGAAAACUAAAUAGGGGAAGUGAGGCAAACAAGCAAAGACUGAAAGCUGAGCUGAUACUAGUGAAGGAGGAAAAAGAACAAGUUAAAACCAUCAUUACAAAGUAUAAAACUAAGAUUUACAAUGAAAUGUGGUGUCAUUUGGGACUCUAAUUGCAUGCUUUACUAAACAUUGCUAGGAGCAUUUAUCAUGCCAGCAGCCAUAGGUUUAGCUACUGUGGGCCUCGGUGCCAUCUGGAAAGAUGAGCAUUCACUUGAAUGGAAUGUUAGAGAUCAUUGUCAUAGCAAUUCAGAGCAAUCCACACUACAUCUGUGUAUAGCACCUGUACAUGUUUAUGGGGUUUUUUUUGAGGUGACUAUUUAGGCUGUUUAAUACAUACAGUUUUUAAAAUUAUAAAUAAAUACAGUUAUUUUGGACUGAAUUGUAAAAAAUAAGGCUUAGUCUUCUAUCACUUCAAUGCUUUCCCCCCCCCCAUUACUAUUAAAAUUAAAAAAAAAAGUAAUGUGAGUUUUUACUCCAUUAGCUAUGAGAUAGCUUAAAAUAAUUCCUCAAAACUUACUGUGUGGAUGUCAUGGGACAGAGAGAGAGAAACGGCAAGCGCUUCUCACAGCGGCUUGUGAGAAUUUUUAGGGAGUUGUAAGGACGUGAUAACUUGUUAAGUAUAAACAAUCUGCAGGUGGUGUUUUUCUACUUUGUCUCUGUUCUUUUCAAGGACGGUGUAUGAGGAAGAUGUUUUUGUUAGUUAGCUAAUCAAAUAGAAUGUAUCGUAUCACUAAACAAACCGUGUGGUUCUCUUGAAUAAAGCCUUCUUUGCUCUUUCUACAA
This is a long non-coding RNA of Melospiza melodia melodia, 6210 nucleotides long. RefSeq lists it as uncharacterized. The transcript has 7 exons. Lineage: Eukaryota; Metazoa; Chordata; Aves; Passeriformes; Passerellidae. The record is from RefSeq and is a predicted model, not a curated record.